This is a small nuclear RNA of Vombatus ursinus (common wombat), 103 nucleotides long. The record is from Ensembl. Lineage: Eukaryota; Metazoa; Chordata; Mammalia; Diprotodontia; Vombatidae.
UUGCUUCAGCAGUACAUAUACUAAAAUUGGAAUGAUACAGAGAAGAUUAGCAUGGACCCUGAGCAAGGAUGACAGGCAAAUUCGAGAAGCAUUUCAAAACAAA